GACGAACGCUGGCGGCGUGCUUAACACAUGCAAGUCGAACGGAAAGGCCCUGCUUGCCGGGUACUCGAGUGGCGAACGGGUGAGUAACACGUGGGUGAUCUGCCCUGCACUUCGGGAUAAGCUUGGGAAACUGGGUCUAAUACCGGAUAGGAACCAUCUUUAGUGUGGUGGUUGGAAAGUUUUUUCGGUGUAGGAUGAGCUCGCGGCCUAUCAGCUUGUUGGUGGGGUAAUGGCCUACCAAGGCGGCGACGGGUAGCCGGCCUGAGAGGGUGUACGGCCACAUUGGGACUGAGAUACGGCCCAGACUCCUACGGGAGGCAGCAGUGGGGAAUAUUGCACAAUGGGCGCAAGCCUGAUGCAGCGACGCCGCGUGGGGGAUGAAGGCCUUCGGGUUGUAAACUCCUUUCGCUAGGGACGAAGCUUUUUGUGACGGUACCUAGAUAAGAAGCACCGGCUAACUACG
RNAcentral lists this ribosomal RNA (463 nucleotides) under uncultured bacterium. Its description in RNAcentral is "partial 16S ribosomal RNA". It matches the Rfam family "Bacterial small subunit ribosomal RNA", at positions 28 to 505 of the family's 1533-position model. The record is from RNAcentral.